This 332-nucleotide RNase P RNA is filed under the name uncultured Eubacterium sp. Its description in RNAcentral is "Bacterial RNase P class A". It matches the Rfam family "Bacterial RNase P class A". Rfam says of the family: Ribonuclease P (RNase P) is a ubiquitous endoribonuclease, found in archaea, bacteria and eukarya as well as chloroplasts and mitochondria. Lineage: Bacteria; Bacillati; Bacillota; Clostridia; Eubacteriales; Eubacteriaceae. The record is from RNAcentral.
GAUCGCGGCCGGCAGGACCGAAAGGGGCCGGCUGAGGAAAGUCCGGGCUUCACAGGGCAGGAUGCCGGAUAACGUCCGGCGGAGGCGACUCCAGGGAAAGUGCAGCAGAAAUAUACCGCUGUGCCAUCACAGUAAGGGUGAAAAGGCAGUGUAAGAGACUACCGACAUUCUGGUGACAGGAUGUGCCAUGUAAACCCCAUCCGAAGCAAGACCGAAAGGAAGACUAUGUGGCUGCCCGUCACGUCUUCAGGUGGGUCGCUUGAGCCUGCCGGCAACGGCAGGACACAGACAGAUGAUCGUACAAGACAUAACCCGGCUUAUCGCUCUGCUGA